CUUUUUGGUCUUUUUUUUUUUUUUUAAAUUUAUUUUUGGCUCUUUGAGAUAAGAGUUUCUCUGGGUAUAACCUUAGCUGUCUUGUGCUCUCUCUGUAGACCAGGCUGGCCUUGAACUCACAGAGAUCGCCUGUCUGCCCCUCCGUCUGCCUAAGAUGGUUGCCUCCAUCACCCAGUUUGUCCUUUUGUUUUUAAGACAAGUUCUCAAUGAAGCUUAGGUGGGCUUACUCACUUUGCAGUGUAAGCUGCUUGGAACUAGGGAUCAUUCUCCUGCCUCAGCCUCCCAGAUGCUACUAUGCAGGAGUAAGCCACCACAUCCAGCUGUUUUCUUUUGCCAAGGAUCAAAAGCGGGUUUUAUGCCCGCUAAGGGAGCACUCCGCCAACUGAGCCAUCUCCUAAGGCCUCCAUAAUGGCGUUGAAUGUUGCUCAUAAGUCAUGGUUCAGUGUAGUUGUAUUUCUCCUUUCAAAAUGAAAAAAAGAUGGAUUAAUUGUGCCCACAUGCAGCUCUAUAGCUCUGUGUUGGGAACUGUGUUUAUUAUCUGGGAGUCCUCUUGACGUCUGAUUGUGAGUCAAAACUGUUAGGGUAAAUUUCUCACAGGUUAGGUAAUUGGAAACCUCAGUCUCUGUAAGCCAUAAUUUUCCUAUGUGUAAAAUAGGGAUAAUGGGGGCUGGAGAGAUGACUCAGCCACUAAGAGCAAUGGCUGCUCUUGCAAAGGUCCUGAGUUCAAAUUCCAACAGUCACAUGGGGGCUCACAACCAUCUGUAGUGUGAUCUGAUGCUUUCUUCUGGGAUGCAGGUGUUCGUGCAGGUAGAGCACUCGUAUACAUAAAACAAAACAAUAUUU
Molecule: long non-coding RNA, 843 nt
Filed under: Rattus norvegicus (Norway rat)
Lineage: Eukaryota; Metazoa; Chordata; Mammalia; Rodentia; Muridae
Description: long non-coding RNA NONRATT022694
Source: RNAcentral